Molecule: long non-coding RNA, 739 nt
Organism: Populus nigra (black poplar)
Lineage: Eukaryota; Viridiplantae; Streptophyta; Magnoliopsida; Malpighiales; Salicaceae
Exons: 5
Source: RefSeq, a predicted model, not a curated record
AUGAUAAUUACAAGCUACAAGUGAGGGAUUGGAUCAUAGAAGGUCAAUAUAGCCUAACUGAUCCAGGUGAAAGUAUGAUAGAUAAAGGUAUUGCUAUUAAUAUCCUGUUAUUCUUGUUUCUGUGUAGUCUCUUCUUUAUGAUUCGAUCGAACUCAUUCUAGGACAGUUUAUACAGCAGUUUAUCAAUACAUUUGGUAAGUACUAUUCUUUACCAACAUAAAUUGGUUUGCCCUUUUGGAAAGCAAAAAAAUGAAACUGCGAAGUUAGAUGGAUAUGGCGGCUCUCCAAUUGCAGACUUUGGGCAGAUUCAGGCUUGAUGUCCCUGUUCUGGAUUUAUGGGACUGUGAUCAAAGCUUCCAUAAAGUUUGGGAGGCUGGGGAAACCGUCCACAAAUCUGCCUUCUACACAUUCUAGCUUUCCUUGCUUUGGAACUGCUCCAACAUGUGAAGUACAUCCCGACCCAGUACUACUUAGAACAGUUUUGAGUUUUGCCUUUCCAGGGCAAGAGUACAAGUUGCACAGUUCUAGUGCAAGGGCCGGAAGGUCAUCUCAGAUAGAACUUGUCAUACUUCCUCCCAGCAACAUCAGAGAUUAAUUGCAAUCAGAUAAUAUCAGUGUUAACACACACGGGAGAAAUCUUACCUUCGUGAGACAAAAGGCACCACCCCAAAUGUUAGUCCACAUGCUGCUUGGCAGAAUAAAGAGAACACAAUCAUCACCACAAUGGACCCGCCUAAAG